GCCCAAGCAAGUCUAGAAUUCUCUACCAAAAUAUUCAGCACCACUAACACCAGAGUUUUAGGAGAGAGUCAAUCCCGCAGCUAAGCCGUCUUCUGACACCUUCUUUGACCAAGCUGUCCCCCUAAUGCUCGGAACCUGCUGGAGCUCUCCAGUCCCUGCUGCAAGUUUCCACCCGGUGCCAGCACUCUCUCUCCCAUUCUAGAGUGCUCGCCCCCACGCUCCUCGCCUAUCAGGCCUAGCGGGUGCUAGGAAACUCCAGCGCCUUCUUGAGAGUUCCGUCACCCUUGUUAGUCUCUAAUCUGUUGGACUAACUUGGUAGAGGCUGACUUAGUCCCACCCCAAGACUAAAUUAGUGUUGAAGUCGUUAAGACCGUGACAGACUCCAUGGAUUCGAGCGUCUCAAGAACAAAACUGGAAUACUAUGAUGAUAUGUGGAAACUUCAAUCCAAAACAACUCUCAUUUCCUUCUCUAAAGGAGACGAUGGUAGGCUUGCUUUGAUAUUGGACUCCACGAUCUUUCACCCUCAAGGUGGAGGCCAGCCGGCGGACACUGGAUUCAUCACCGCUGCUACUGAUGAUUCCAACUUUAAAUUCAUCGUUCAAGAUGUUAGAUCCAAGGACGGAAUUGUUUAUCAUUACGGAGUCAUGGAGGAGGAGGAUUCUGGUAGGGAUUUCCUUGAGAAGGGGAGGGAAGUUCUGUUGCAUGUUGAUGAGUGUAGGAGAAAGCUGAAUUCCAGGUUGCAUUCAGCUGGGCAUUUGCUGGAUGGAUGCUUGCUGAAUGUGGGAUUGGGUCAUCUAGAACCAGCAAAAGCCUACCAUUUUCCAGAUGGGCCUUUCGUUGAAUAUAAAGGUACAGUUCCUCAAAAUGAAUUGCAAAACAAGCAAAAAGAGUUAGAGGUAGAAGCCAAUGAGUUAAUAUCUACAGGAGGCAUAGUUUCUGCUGCUGUAUUGCCAUAUGAAGAAGCUUCUGCUUUGUGUGGUGGUUACCUUCCUGAUUAUAUUCCCAAGGGCAGCACUCCUCGCAUUGUGAAGUUAGGAAACUUUCCUGGCUGUCCUUGUGGUGGUACCCAUGUUUCUGACAUUUCAGAGAUCAUAAGUAUGAAGGUUUCUCAAAUGCGGUCAAAGAAGGGAAUGACAAAAGUCUUUUACACUGUUGGAUCAUGUGAAGAUAUGGCACUUCCAACGAAUUAAUGCUGAGUUUGAUAGGCCGAAAUAUAAUGUAAUAUGAUCAAAUUUUCUAUUGAAUCUCAACAAAAAAAUUUGAUUGUAUUAGAUUAUAUUACAAUUUACUAAACAUAGCCUAAAAUUAUGAAAUUCAGCUUUCUGUGUUCUUGUAUAAUUUAGCUGAUUAAGCUGUUACUU
This 1362-nucleotide unclassified non-coding RNA is filed under the name Hevea brasiliensis (rubber tree). Lineage: Eukaryota; Viridiplantae; Streptophyta; Magnoliopsida; Malpighiales; Euphorbiaceae. The record is from RNAcentral.